AUUCCAGCUCCAAUAGCGUAUAUUAAAGUUGUUGCGGUUAAAAAGCUCGUAGUUGGAUUUCUGUUGAGGACGGCCGGUCCGCACUAUGUGCGUGUAUCUGGUUCGGCCUUGGCAUCCUCUUGAGGAACGUAUCUGCGCUUGAUUGCGUGGAGCGGUAUUCAAGACUUUUACUUUGAGGAAAUUAGAGUGUUCACGGCAGGCAAGCGCCCUGAAUACGUUAGCAUGGAAUGAUAAUAUAGGAUCUUGGUUCUAUUUUGUUGGUUUCUAGAGCUAAGGUAAUGAUUAAUAGGGAUAAUUGGGGGCAUUUGUAUUAACGCGUCAGAGGUGGAAUUCUUGGAUUGCGUUACGACAAACUACUGCGAAAGCAUUUGCCAAGGAUGUUUUCAUCG
This 389-nucleotide ribosomal RNA is filed under the name Syndiniales sp. Its description in RNAcentral is "partial small subunit ribosomal RNA". It matches the Rfam family "Eukaryotic small subunit ribosomal RNA", at positions 582 to 975 of the family's 1831-position model. Lineage: Eukaryota; Dinophyceae; Syndiniales. The record is from RNAcentral.